UACGUAGGGGGCUAGCGUUAUCCGGAAUUACUGGGCGUAAAGGGUGCGUAGGCGGGUUUUUAAGUCAGAGGUGAAAUCCUGGAGCUCAACUCCAGAACUGCCUUUGAUACUGAAAGUCUUGAGUAUGGGAGAGGUGAGUGGAACUGCGAGUGUAGAGGUGAAAUUCGUAGAUAUUCGCAAGAACACCAGUGGCGAAGGCGGCUCACUGGCCCGAUACUGACGCUGAGGUGCGAAAGCGUGGGGAGCAAACAGG
RNAcentral lists this ribosomal RNA (253 nucleotides) under uncultured bacterium. Its description in RNAcentral is "partial 16S ribosomal RNA". It matches the Rfam family "Bacterial small subunit ribosomal RNA", at positions 524 to 776 of the family's 1533-position model. The record is from RNAcentral.